Rhincodon typus (whale shark) is the source of this 250-nucleotide long non-coding RNA. RefSeq lists it as uncharacterized. The transcript has 3 exons. Lineage: Eukaryota; Metazoa; Chordata; Chondrichthyes; Orectolobiformes; Rhincodontidae. The record is from RefSeq and is a predicted model, not a curated record.
ACAACAGAAGAUACCUAAUCUCGAGGAAGAAUCUAGAAGAAAAUGUUCCUCAAGUGCCAUUAACUGCUCUCCGUGUUCAGAUGGACAAAAUUCUUCAGUAGAAAUACCAGGGACGGUAACUACAACCUCAAGUGUUGAGCAUUCCCUGGACAAAGAUAUUAGAUCAAACUCUCCAGCCCAAAGUAAAGAGUGCAUGACUGAAGUCUCAAAUGAUGACAGCAGUUUAAAGGUGCAACAAACUAAUGCUCCC